This 464-nucleotide ribosomal RNA is filed under the name uncultured bacterium. RNAcentral describes it as "partial 16S ribosomal RNA". It matches the Rfam family "Bacterial small subunit ribosomal RNA", at positions 338 to 795 of the family's 1533-position model. The record is from RNAcentral.
CCUACGGGUGGCAGCAGUGGGGAAUAUUGCGCAAUGGGCGAAAGCCUGACGCAGCGACGCCGCGUGAGGGAUGAAGGUCUUCGGAUCGUAAACCUCUGUCAGCAGGGAAGAACGGUCACUGUGCUAAUCAGCAGUGCAUUGACGGUACCUGCAAAGGAAGCACCGGCUAACUCCGUGCCAGCAGCCGCGGUAAUACGGAGGGUGCGAGCGUUAAUCGGAAUUACUGGGCGUAAAGCGCUCGUAGGCGGUAUGUCAAGUCAAGGGUGAAAUCGCGCGGCUCAACCGCGCCCCGCAGUUGAAACUGGACGCCUUGAGUGCACAACAGGCAGGCGGAAUUCGUGGUGUAGCGGUGAAAUGCAUAGAUAUCACGAGGAACCCCGAUUGCGAAGGCAGCCUGCCGGGGUGCGACUGACGCUGAGGCUCGAAGGUGCGGGUAUCAAACAGGAUUAGAUACCCGGGUAGUC